This 448-nucleotide long non-coding RNA is filed under the name Cavia porcellus (domestic guinea pig). RNAcentral's name for it is "lncRNA (ENSCPOG00000032199.1)". The record is from RNAcentral. Lineage: Eukaryota; Metazoa; Chordata; Mammalia; Rodentia; Caviidae.
CUCGGCGAGGCUGCUGGAUUAACGUUCUCGUUCCACUCCCCCCCUCCCCCGCUUCAGAAGCUCCCCUCCACGCUCCGGUCGGGUCCCCACGGCUGCUCCUUCCCAUCUGUACCCCCGUAGAGUGCGGGGACACCCGGAGCAGCAAAGAACUGAGUCAGGAGGCCAGGACGACACGGGGACUCCAGAGACCCCCUCGGGCCGCCCCCCGAGCCCGACCGAGCUGGGGGUAGGGGUGCGGGCGCCCCGCACAGAGACGAAGGCAGCCCUGGAAAGCCGAAAGCCGGAUUUAUCUGUGGGCUUCUCACCUUUCCUGCCAGCGCUGCACCACUUUGCUGAUUGUGCUCCAUACUGGUUUCUGCUGGCAUGCAUCUGCCCUGAAUACGUUUUCCCCUUAUCCUCUUCAAUAAAUGCAGCUUCUUUGUUUUAGCAUUCGAAGUACAAUUCUUUG